UACGAAGGGGGCUAGCGUUGUUCGGAAUUACUGGGCGUAAAGGGCGCGUAGGCGGUACUUCAAGUCAGGCGUGAAAUCCCCGGGCUUAACCUGGGAACUGCGUUUGAAACUACAAGGCUAGAGUGUGGCAGAGGGGGGUGGAAUUCCACGUGUAGCAGUGAAAUGCGUAGAGAUGUGGAGGAACACCGAUGGCGAAGGCAGCCCCCUGGGUUAACACUGACGCUCAGGCACGAAAGCGUGGGGAGCAAACAGG
RNAcentral lists this ribosomal RNA (253 nucleotides) under uncultured bacterium. RNAcentral's name for it is "partial 16S ribosomal RNA". It matches the Rfam family "Bacterial small subunit ribosomal RNA", at positions 524 to 776 of the family's 1533-position model. The record is from RNAcentral.